UUUAACUCAAAAAUCAAACAAUCCACUCAUUAAUUUUUUGAUCUUUAAUUAUUAAUUGGUAAUAUUACAACCAGGAUACAGAAAUACUACUAGCACUUUUACAACAACCCAUUUAUCGCAUUUGCUAUAAGAAUUAUAAUCUUUAAAAUACAAUAUUUUUUUUUUUAAAAUUUUGGCUUGGUAAGAAAAAAAUAUUAACAGAAAAUCUGACACACUAUGAGCUUGGUUUUCCUCUUCCACCGUAAGCUUGCUUGCACAUAUAACUAGGCUUUUGUGAAGGCGUGCACAGCUGAGACGAACCUGGACAUCCUUGCAAACAAUUAUCCCCCAAGCUACCGGUGACAGGCGCCUCUCCGGAGAAAAACCCAGACGGCGGCUUCCCAAUCAAGAAAUUACCGUCCAAGAACAGCCUUCUCAAACUCUUCUUCUGACCGUACUCGAAUGGGAUUGUGCCACGUAGCCGAUUGUAUCUCAAUGACAAAGACGACAACAGUGGAUAAGCAGAGAAAUACACAAGGGCGUUUCCCUCGAUUCUGUUGAACCCGAGAUCAAUCGCCACCAGGUCGCUGUUACCAUUUACAGGCUUUAAGAUCUCGAUGCUUGUCAGGCUAUUAUUGGCUAAAUCCACCUGUUGAAGCGCAGGCAAGGCAAGGAACCACGAUUCUACUGCUCCGGUUAACGAGUUCUCGCUGAGUUCCACCACCUCCAACUGAGUUAACCCGUCAAAGGACCAUUUUGAUAAUGACCCAGAUAAAGAAUUGCUCUUUAAGGCUAGUUCUAGCAAGUUUGGAGGUAGCUUCGGUAAAGACCCAGUCAGCUUAUUGUAGCUAAGAUCGAAUCUCCUUAAACUAGACAUUGAAUUCAAGGCUUUAGGGAGAUACCCAGACAGAGAAUUAUGUGAAAUGUCCAAAGCUUCGAGGGAUUUAAGGUUGGUGAUUGAGGCAGGGAGUGAGCCAGAGAACCAAUUGGAACGGAGAAUCAAGGUCUGGAGGUUGAAAAGAGAGGAAAUGGAAGAUGGGAUAGGGCCAAAGAAAUUAUUAUCAGAGAGGUCAAGAAUAGUGAGAUUACUGAGUUGAGAAACAAGUGGGGUUAAUUGCCCUGAGUAGCCAACAGGAUCAAGAGUGAGUUGGGUGACUCGAGUUGAGUCAGAGGAGCAAGUGACGCCGCAGGUGAAGUGAGUCCGCCGAGGUAAGGCACAUGGGUCGGUGGUGAAGUCCCAGGAGGCAAGGCAGGACCAUGAUGGGAUAGAACUUGGCUUGAUGGAAGCUUUAAAGGCCUUGAGAGCAGAGAUAUCUUGUGGUGAAGUGAGAGCAAAAACAAGAAAAUUUCUGGAGAUGAAGACAAACAGGUGAAGAAGAAAGAAGAGAAAUUUGGACAUUUUGAGAGGAAUGUGAAAUGGGUUUUGAUGGAGAAUGAAGAGAGGCAAAGCAAUAAUGGAAGUGGGGAUUGAGAAUGGACUUUUUGGAGUUCGAAGAGUUUAUUAAGCAUGGCAGCUGGCUGGAGAGCACUAAAGGUAGUGUUGGUUCGUAAACGUAGUCAAUGUUCCAAGAUAUUUAAAGAGUGGAGGGGUCGAAUUUGCCGUCCUUUGCACAUCUAUCUGCCAAGUUCGAGGUUUGGUUGAUUGCCCUUUUUUAACCCCUAAGAAU
RNAcentral lists this unclassified non-coding RNA (1646 nucleotides) under Hevea brasiliensis (rubber tree). Lineage: Eukaryota; Viridiplantae; Streptophyta; Magnoliopsida; Malpighiales; Euphorbiaceae. The record is from RNAcentral.